Molecule: long non-coding RNA, 12954 nt
Organism: Haplochromis burtoni (Burton's mouthbrooder)
Lineage: Eukaryota; Metazoa; Chordata; Actinopteri; Cichliformes; Cichlidae
Exons: 3
Source: RefSeq, a predicted model, not a curated record
AUUUCAGUGUGUUCUUGCUAUAAUUCUUUUUCUCAAAUAAAUGUUAUUAACGUGCAAUUUUGGGCUAAUUGUCUAAUAUUUUUGAGCAGAUGUAAUUCAGAGUAGCACGCUGCAUCCUCACUGAUAGAUUCACAUAUGUUUUUGAAAGUAUCUAGACUAGACUAGCUGUGCAAUUACUCACCAAGCGGCACACAAACUCACAACCAUGAGCCAGCAGAGAAAAAAAACAAAACAACAACAAAAAAAGAGUGCUCUGUGUUUCUCUGCUUUUUAUAACUUUCCCCUUUUCCUCGCUUUUAUUUAGCCCCAUAAAGCAGAGUUUUCAGUUGGCUUCAAAGCUCUGUGCCGAGCUCAGUUGGGGGCCUUCAAAGCCCCCUGUCUGUCGGCAGGUUUAGGCACAGAGAAAGCUUCUUGUUCUUUAAGGAUUUGGCUCACAAAUAACGCCCAGCCAGGGCCAAGGCAACUAGCUUGCACCCUGACAGGAUAGUAGACAGACUCCAGCAUUUUAGUGAUGUGUUUUAUGGGCUAUUGCUACAUCUAUCCGAGGUUUUCUCUUUUUCAAACUGGAAGAUGCACAGACAAUGACAGAGGAGACUUGAAUGAUAACCAAAGAAUGAUGCUGGCAAAGCAUUGGAUUGUAAGCGUUAGCCAGAGGCCCAGUCUUUGUCUUUUGCCUGUCAAAAAAUGGAGGCAGAGGCUUCACCCUCUGAAGGCCUCCAUCGUACAGACAGCUGUUUAACCUGCUAGCAACUGCCUCAGCCAGGUGAGCUUCUGCACUACACAAAUUUAAACGACUGCUGUUACUGACAUUAUGUCUACUUUGAUUGGGAUUCAGGCUUUGUACUGCAUAAACCGGUUAAAUCUUUGACAAAUACAUGUGCAGUACUUGCUGCUGGAUGGAAAAUGCUAAAUUGCUAAAUGAAGAAAAGGGUAGGAAGUAGACGAGUUUAGUUGUAUCUGCAAGUCGAGUAUUCUAAUUAAAAGUGUGUUGUUUUCCUCCAAAAAUCCAGCGCCUGUCAAUGCAAAGUAACCACAGUGAGAAAGAAAGAAAAUGGCCAUAAGUAAAAUCUAAUAUUGCAGUUUUAUUUACAACCUUCACUGUGAAUAAUCUGAGAGGAGAGGAGAGGAGAGGAGAGGAGAGGAGAGGAGGGGGAUGGGUGGGGUACACCCAGGAAAGCAGAGCAAAUACUGAGAUGCUGAAAAUUGAGAUUGCUACAGUUAGAGCCCGACUAUCCCUGCUCUACAGCUGUGACAUACACACAAAUCAGAGAAUCUCAACUAAAAACAUGAAGAAGGUUGAAGAGUGAAACUUCCUUCAUCUUCAAAAUCUCUUGGAAAAUUUGCAGUUUUUUUUCAUAAGGUCAUUUUUCACAAUUUGUGCAACAGUAUGCACAUUUACGUCCAUCCAUAAAACAUAAAACACUGUAAAACACAUGCAGACCAGCUCUCAGGCACAGAGAAGCCAGUUACGUCAGUAUAUUUUCACACUGCGGUAGUGUGUCUUUGUCUGCUUGUCGGCCAGCCAGCUGUAAGAUGGAGGGCGAGAAAUAUGCUUUUAACGGACGACUUCGUCAGGCAAAACCCACGGCGUUGUCGUUUCUGUUUACGUGUGGCAUCGUUUGCUCUGUCGAUUUACGUCAGAUGAUUGCUACUGUGUUAUUUGGCUUUUAUUUUGUGUAUUUGUGAUUACUUGUAUUGUAUGAGGUCGUGUGUGCAGGUCGAACAAUGCACUGAUUGGAAUAAGUAGUUCUGCAUGUCGCAGUCAGCUUAGCAGGUAAAUGGUACGCCUGUGUUGUGCGCUCCACACGGGAAUGCACAGCGUACCUGGUGCGUCUUAAAAUGUUUGUGUGCACAUUAGUGGGGGAUGGCAACCUCCUGUUCAUCUAGCCACAGCAUCAGCUGUUGUUCUGUCACAAAUACACACACGCGCACACACAAAUUGAAAAGCAGAAGUGAUUUGUUCCAAUCCUAUUGCUGCAGAAAAGGAGAGUGCGCAAUAAUAUAUGUGACUGAUAAAAUAAUAAAUCCAUAUUAUUGCGGCACAGCGCAGAAACACAGUCCUGCGACACAUGUAGCUCCCUUUAUGAAGCUUGUAACAUUGCUAUUGAUUCCACUCUUAAAGUAAAUCAGCAAACUUCUCGUUUUUUUGUUUUUUUUUUACUUAAAGUGUUUUAUGAGCUUCUCAUUAGCGUAAUGUGAUUUUCAGUGUCACCGUCACCGUCUUCUCCUACCUGACCCACCCGGACAAACCAGCAGCAACAUAAUCGCUGGACGCAAACUCGAUGGUGUUUGUUUUCGCUUAGCUAUGACAGCGAUGCACUGAAGACAAAGCCGUUUCAGGCACCGGCAUCGAUAUGUGACAGACACGGGCACAAAACAAAACCCCGGACAUGCGUGGUGAGGCAGAGGAAGGCUCAGAGCGGCUCACACUGAUUCAGACUUAGAGGAGGCCUCAGUGAGCGAAGGUUUGUCGUUGUUCCACGAACACAAACCCAGAUGCUUUCAGGCUUUGAUUCCAGGUUACUUUUUCACUGUUCACAGUGGGAGCGUGCACACACACAUAUAUAUACGCAGACACACACAUGCACGCACACCAUGGACUGGACUGAUAGGAUUAGAGACUCGCGCUAUAUUCUCUCUGUGUCUUUCUUUUCCUCUCUCACCCCCUCUCUCUCUUGAGCCUGCAAAGCCUUGAUUAUUCACAAGGUUAGUUCCUGAUUGCAUAUAGCAGUAGCAGACACAGGUUCAUUAUCUCUCCACCUCUUUUUUCUUUUCUUUUUUUGCUCUCUCGGUCGAGCGAAUAGGCUUGGCUCACACACGGACUCAAAUUUGCAGGCUCACAAAAGACACUCUAGCAUGUUGCGUAUUAUUGUCUUUCCCUUCAUUAUUUCCUUAUUUUAAAUCUCUCUCUCGCUGUCUCUUGAUAUUUUCCUCUCUAUUUUUAGUGUCCUGGAACCCAGGUAUAUAGAGGAUUAUUCAUGUAUAGUAGGUAGGAUGAUGUCUGCCGUCGAUUAUACUAAUAAAAUUGCAGUGAGCUUGAAAAGGCAGGUCUAGCAGAAUACUGAUGACACUGUAUGUAUGUGUGCGCGUGUGUGGAGGAUAUCAGUGCUGCAGCAGCGAGCUUCAAAAGGUAGCCGUCGGCCAGCCCUCUGCUGUCACACAGGAGCUGUCGUUAGAAAACCUCCAACGGUAGCUCACAUACAAACACAGCAUACGAGGACGAGUUUCUGUUAAAGAAAGAAAAAGUAUCAGUGGAAAUGUUGUGGUUUUGUUCUAAAAGACAUUUCCUUGUGAGAGUUAUUGUCCCGAUAUUUUCCGUUGUUGGUAUUCUGAUAAAUGAAUGAAGCUCUUAUUUGUUUAUUUCUCAUUCGUUGUCAGGAUGUCGGAAAAGAUUGUUAGUUUUUCCCCUCUUUCUGAGGGACAAUGUCCCUAUUCGGAGGAGGGUGCGAGUGCAGUGUUGACACAUGUUAGUGCUGGCUGAUUAGUCGACACAUAAAGGAACAUGUAGCCCCUCCAUCACUAUUCAGCCAUUUUGUCUCCCUGUCUGUCACCCCGGUGGAGUGGAUGUUUGUGUGCGAGAGAGGCUUUUGUUAAGGAAAUGCAAAGGAAAGAGAACGAACGAGAGAGAAGACACCAUGAAAAAUUACACCGACCACAGCCAAGUCCCUGCGACCCUGGGUUGUUGUUUUUUUUAUUGCUAAUUUCUGCAUCUUGGGAUUCUACAAUAUUUAAAAUUUCUAUUUAAAAAGUAGAAUUUUAUAUGUAUGUGUGUGCUGGGAAAGUAAUAAAAUGCAUUUAGUGAUGAGUUUGUAGUAGCGCGUUGUGUAAGGUAUUGUGUCAGAUCAGAAGGUCGGUGGACAUUGUGUCUUAAGUGGAUUAACCGGACGGUCAGUGAGACACACAGCCAAAGUGGCAGCCAUAACCACGCCUCUGUCACUUAAAAUUUUCUUAUGAUACUGAUUUGUUUCCCGAGACUUUUUCACAAUAGCAGGGUGGAGUUUGUGCAAAUUCGCUGUGUAAUCUUUUUGCUAAAAGCAUGGAGGCUGACACUGUCGCAGCUCACAUAUUUACCGACAUUUUAUACAUUUAAAACGCCCACAGUUUUUUUUGCAUGUGGUCAAAAUAAGAUUGUUUAUCGUUGUUUGCGAUCAUCUGUUAUUUAACACGUUUUUAUUAUAUACUGCAGAUAAAAAUGCCUGAAUUAUUAUGCCAGUAGUGUUUCAGUUUCUGAAUCUCACUGGGUAUGCAACAUUUAAAAAGCUCUUGGACCUGAAUAUCAUCUGCAAUCUGCAUUAAAAUGAAUUGUUUUAUAAUACAGAAAAAGUGACAUUGUUGUUGCAAUGAAAUGAAUAAUCUCACUCUGCAGGUGUUUUGUUUUUUGUUUUGACAACCAUAUAUUAUUAAAGCGUUACAAUUUGUAUUUUUAAAGAUAUUUCCAGUAUUAUACAGUGCAGUCGGUGCAGUAUUUAAUUUCUGAUAUAUGUAACACAUGCAAACACACCUUACUAUAUAUAGUAUAAUAUUCAGAGUAAUCUUGCUGAGCAUUUGAGCACAGAAAAUAUGAGUGUGAUUUUUUUUAACAAAAGACAGAAGAAAUUCAACAUUUCUUAAAUAGUUUCUAUUAAAAAGUAAUUGUGAAGUACGCAUUUGUAAUUGUAAUUUUCCCCGUCUUUAUAUUAUUGUUAUCAUUAUUAUUUAUGUACAUUGUUUGAUACUGUAUUCAGAUGGAUUAAUUACUUACUGAUUGAUUUUUCAGGUCUUGCACUGUUUUUGGAGAGAAUAAAAAAAGCAUAAACACUGUACCUGAUAAAUAGUCUGUGUACCUUUGAACAGCAUAGCUCCCCCUCUGGCUUUCAGGAAGCUUAACAUGUGCAAUGCACCUCAUUUGGUGGCAUCAGUGCGUUGCUGUGACUUUGUGGUCAUCUCUUAAUUAUUUUUUGGGGGGUUUUCUACUCUUAAUGCUCAGACUAAAUCAUUUAAGCUCAUUUUAUUCUUCACAUAAUUGCGUAACUUCCUAGACAAAGCAUCACGGUUUAAUUUCAUGCCCAACAUUUUUCUAUUUCUGUCUAAAAAGAUUCUGUGAUUGUUUUGAUAAAUUACACUAUUAUUAUACAGUAUUUUACAUACUUAUAGGUAAUCACACAGAUACUAAUAAUAUGGUUUAAAACUACUCCCAUGGAUCAGCAUUGCAUUGACAAGAAUAAAAAUAAAAUUAAUACAUACGUACUCGUGUUUUUCGUCAGUCUUCUUACAGGGAUCAAAUUUAAAAUCAUUUCAAUAGAAGCUUUCAUAUCACAGUGCAUAUUAUGCCUUAUCUCUACAGAUAAUAAAUACUUAGAUGUUUCAGAUUUGUUAUCAAGCUCUGUAUGCCUUAUCACUGCAAAGUAAUCUAUAUAUGUCUAUAUGUAUAUACUUAACCUGGUCUAUGAUAGACUAAAUGAUAAGCUUUCUAAAGUACUGCGAAUUCGAUUGUGAUCUGAUUAUACCUUCAAGGCCUUGAAGUCAAAGUCCAGUCAAAGAGCUGCUUUAUUCCACUUAUUUUCCUCAUAUUUCUGCUUUUUCGUCUUUGGAAAGUGAUUUCAAUAGAGGUGGACUCCACAAGGUUGCAUGUGUUGUGUAAUGCCGUAUACGGUAGUUAAUGUGCGUCUUCUCUAAAGAUGUUGUUCUGUGAGGUUUAAAAGGGAACAAAUUAUUACUUUGUCCCUUUGAUAAAGUGUGACUUUUGCUCCAUUGAAUUUAAAUUUUAGAACACGUGCACAUAGUGUGUGAUAGCAUUUAGAUUUGUUUUUGAAUGUUAAUUACUCAAAAUUUUAAAGGUGUGUUUUCUAUCUAAUAGUAACUAUUCAACAUCUUGACUAUGAAGCUAGGUUGCUUUAAAUGAGGCCUGUUCGUGUGUGUGUGUGUCGUAACCCUUUUGAAUGCUGUCAAUUUUUCAGUCUUUCAGUUUUUUGGUUUUAUGUCUGUGUCACACAUAUUUCCAACACACACACACAUAUAUUCAUUCAUCUCUAUGCAGGAUCAGUCAUGCUAAAGGUCGUCUAUGUGCCAGCUUGACAAUAUUGUCUAUAAGCUGCUUUGGAGCAAGAGAACUUCUAAGGACAAUCACCAAGAGGAGGUUUUCUUCGCUUUACGUAUGGCUCAGUGUUAGCGUGAAUCACCGAGGUGGAGGGUGGCGAUUCUUUUCAGCUCCCUCUCAGCUGAACCCAUUCCAACUGUGAAUAGAAACUGCAAUUGAUUUGCUAAUGAUAGAGUAUUCACUGCUAAUAAGAUGGAUAUAACAACCUUGUCCUUGUCGGUUUGGGAGAAAAUUGGCCUCCUAAAUUGAUUAAACUGAAGGUGAACUGGAGGCAGCCGUGCAGGAUGCUGCUUUAUGCCGUGGAAAGAUGAUUUGAGAUAAAUGUGAUGGAGCUGUUUAUUUCAGCUUUUUUUUUUUUUUUUAACUAGAACGUGCCGUUUUAUUAUUGUAUAAUAAAAUGAUUGGAAAUUUGUAUCAAUUUGUGAAAUUAUUAAGACAAAUUUUAUCAUAAUCGACACUUAGACUGUCAACAUCGCUGUUAUUUCUGCUGUUUUAAACAUGCAGAAUUAUAUUUUAUGAAGAACUUUACACAUCGGUUUGUUAAAAACAUGUAAAAACAUUUUUUUUUCCUUCAGGCCAUUUAGCAAAAAUGGUUAUUGGGUUUUUAUUUUACAAUAUAUUUUUUCCCUCUUAUAUCAGCAGCCGCUGUGCCAUGAGUUACUGACUGGAGUCAUUUUAGGUUUGCAGAGUCAUGUUUUUGGGUUUAGCAUUUCAAACUAAAUCACUAAUAAAGAGAAAAAUCUCUGUAGAGCACUAUUUCGAAUUUCACUCCCUUGUUAUUUCCCAUCAAACUAACAUUUACACCCUCUCAUGGCUUGUUAAAUUUAUUUCCUAGUUCAUAAUGAUAUGACAAUAAUAAUGUUAGUCAUUGGGCCCUGCUGUGGAUGUGACACAAAUGGCAUAUAAAUCCAGAUGUGACUGGCUUUAAUGAGCAGCUGCUGACGAUAAUCCAGCUGAUAAAUGACUUUUAGGAGCUUUAAAACCCCUUCGGCUCCAGCAUCACUCCACGAGGAGUUUAUUUUUCAGCAUGACAUCACGAGAUGUAAUAAAAUAUCAGGGAAGAGUGUGGUAGCUUAGCACGUCAACCACAUAUUCGCAGUGUUGAGUGAAAUCCAGCAGAAGCCGGCUCUGCCUCUCUGUGUGCCUUGUGUUUAAUAAAACAGAGACGGGCCGUAGAAUUGAUUCAGAAGAAGCCGAAUGGCAUUGAAACACUACAAUGAAACUUGAGAGCUGUGGCCUUCCCAGUGCUCUGGCUCGCUGUGUUCGUCGCCACGUCGUGCGUCUCUGUAGAGGCGUGAUAGAGUGCAGUGCAUGAAAUCUCAGCAUGGUUUUACAGGUAGAUCACAGUGCUUGUACAUCACACAGCAGUGCUAUGUAACUCAGCUGUCUCUCCCAUCCUCAAUUUCCUCCUGCAGAAAUCUGUAUGAGUGGUGCCUCUCUGUCUGUCUGUGCAGGAUGGAUGCGGGAUGGAGGACUUUUACCAUGGCAACCACUAAUGCAGUAUAGAUGCAGGGACUGAGCAUGGGCUACUGCUGUAAUAAUACAGGAUUCGUGGAAAGCAGGUGAAAUGUCAUCCGGGCUGUUUAAAUGAGCACCUUUGAAGUCUGCUGUGGUUAACAUUGAAUCCCACUUGGCUCUGGUGGGGAAAUUAGGCUAUUGUUUCCUGUGUUAGUUCAGCACCCAAGCAUUCUUUCUGCUCAGUUUCGAUUCAGGAGCUUGUAGCUGACCAAAAAAUAAAAAAUAAAAGAGUCUCUCCUCAACACUAUGCUAUACUGCAUAGCCUCACUUCAUUCAUAUGUCAGCCCCACCGUCACAUUGUUUCCUAUAUCGGCUUAUACUGCCCAAUCCUCAUAAUCCGUCUGUAGUCUGAGUCAAAUAUCUGGUCCAUGCAGUGUCCUCUCACCUUCUUUUAGGAUGUGAUUUCCUCUAUCCUCCUCUUCCUCCUCUUCACACACUGGAUUACAACUGUCCAAGUUUGAAGAGUAACACCGAGCAGGUUAGCAGAGCGUUUUCACCCUUCCUGCUGUUUUUUAAUAUACCACAAAAUUAGUAUUGUUAUUGCUAAUUGAGAGCAGCAACAUCACCUCAGACUAUUCUGUAGUGAAUAGAGUGACUAAACAAUUUUGUAAUUAACGCUGUAAAAAGUAAAUAAAAAUAAAAAUGACAUUUAAUUUUUUUCAUUUUUCACAUUUGUUUAAAUGAAUUUGUCAAGCUCGCUAUAAGCAUCUGCUACACUGUAAAGUAAAGGCCAAAGUGAAAGCGUUAUAGUGUAAAAUACAUGGUCAGUGACUGACAGAGUAUAUUUGGUUUGCCCCGCUGUGUUAGAGCCAUUUUUCAGUGUCAAGAGGGCCAUAAGUCGCAGCCUCCGCACGAGAGUGUCGGUCCAAGGCAAACAUUCCUUCCAUGUGUAUCCCUUCUCUGACCUGCUGUUGCUGUGUGUGCAUGUGCUUGUGUGUGUGUGUCCCUGUGUGUGAGGGCGUAUUUGUUUUGUCUGCCCCUAUCUAUAGCUUUGAGCUGCCCCUUUCUUUAACAGCUAGAGAAAGAAACCACACCCCUCGGGCCUUGGCCACUGCACGUGUAUGUGGUACUUUGCUCUCCUGGGAUUUGGUGAUUUCUAUUGCCGUGCCAUUUCCUCACCAAUAACCACGAGAUGCCAAACUCUUCAGUUAAACAAGAGCAGAAAAAUUAAGAGAGGAAUUUUUGAUAAAAGAUAUUAUAAUUAGGGACACACGUGAUCAUAUGUGCCUCGAAAUACACAUUUUUGGGAUCAACACACCAACGAAAAAACUGGUCUUUCUUAUUACUACGCUCACAUACAGCAGACCUGCACAUAAAUUAAAUAACGGGGCACACAGAAAUUCUGAUGCAAGUGUUCACACAGGCAUAAGAAUGCAAACACACAUGCGUAUGUGAAUACACAGCACCGGUGUUAGCCAAUGAGAACGGAGCUUGAACAAGACCUGCAAGUCUCUUGUGACUAUCUGCUCCUAGGAGACUGGGAUCUACCUGUUUUUAUGUGCUUGUUUGUGUCGCUGUUGGCACCUUGAGCUCUAUAUUAUCAUUACCUUGACCUGUGUUUAGUCAAAGCAAAAGCAUACAUAGCAUACAUGCAUACAUGCAUACAAGCAUACAUGCAUACAUGCAGUUUCGUCACAUUCACACACGAGUCAGGAUAACUGAUGCUUCGAUUAAAGCGCUAGUGCCAAGCAUUCAUUCUUUUUUCUUUUUUUUCCCUAUGUGUAGUAUAAUGUUUAAUCUGUUGUCAUACUUGUCUGCUGAAAUGGAUCAAAAACACUGCUGGACUUAUUUGUGUAUUAAUUGCCGGCAAUUGACUAAAUCCACCCAAAAAUUAUAGGAGUUGGACAGAUUAUUGUGAACUGACCUCACAGUGUGACAUGAUGCAGGAUUGGAGAGGCGUAGAUUACAAGCAAAUAUACAGAGCGUUUAAAUUUCUAUAUAAAAUGCAAGUAGAAAUUAAUCUUAACAUGUUCGUCGUUUCAAUAGUGCUGGUACUUCUACUAAUGAUGAUGGUGAUUUUAUUGUAUUCUAUCAGGCUGCCUUAUAUUUUCCAAUGAUCUAUUUACAUCCAAACAAAAAGAAUUUGUUAUUAGAAUUAAAAUGUGCUUUGUCCUCUAAAACACCCUGUCUUGAUGUCCAUGCUGCUCUGCAUUUAUCAAUGAAUUGCAGGUGUAAAUACUCAGCGAACUCCUCGUGCUGCCAGGGCGGAAAAUGAAACGGCCUCUCCAGCUGGAAGAACAAGUGUUGUGUGGGCUCCCUGAAGUGGUGCAGCACUGGGUCAUUGGAGAGCCACAGCGUGUUUGGGAACACAACAGUCUGUGUUUUUUUCAGCACAGCUUGUUGGAUGAAGGGCCAUUUCACAGGCAUUAUGGAUUAAUCUUUGGCAGGAUCCCUCCAGGAUCAAGCAAAACUGGGCAUUUAACCUCACGUGUCACGAUAGAGAGUUCUCUGGUGAUAAACCAGGACAGAGAGGAUUGAAGGUGACCCACAUUUCUCUGUAGAUUCAUUACUUGAGUCCUUCUUAAAAAUAAAAUACGGGUACACAUCCUUCUUCAGGUAAGUGGUACCCAUGGACAAAUAAAUAAUUAAACUGCCUUAAUGUGAAGUGGAAAACCACCACACAUUACUGUGUUAUAUCUCCCUGCUGAUCACCCGAUGUCCUGUUUAGGUACCAGAAAGUGACCGUUUGAACUGCGCUGCUGUGUCUGUCACUCCACCUUGCUGUCACCUGCACACAAUCACAGAUUCACAGCUGACACGUCCCAACGCUGCUUAUAAACUGUUCGUUACGCUCAAUAUUGAAAUGCUUUCAAGUUCAUUUUGACAGGAGGUGUGAUUGACAGGUGUAAAUUGAACAGUCUGGGUGCAAACAGAAAGACUGCUUAUAUGUAUCCUAGCAGCUGUACAUGUGUGAACUGUUUUAUUAAAUAAACGAAUGGAUGUGAUCUUGCUUGUUUUCUUGCAUCAUGAGAUUAAUUUUAAAACGAGAAUAAUAAAAAGUGAUAGUAUUUAAUGAUCAAUAGCUUUUCCAGAGAUACACUAAAUCAAGAGAUUGCGUUUCAAAUGCAUUUGAUCUUUGACUUUUUUUUUUUUUUUUACAGACGGCAAAUAUAUUUUUUAACCCUUUACCUGGACCUAGAGGUCAAACUAAACUGUAAGGUAAACCCAGCACAUGUGAAGCACUUCCAGUUCCCUGUUGCCUUAAUUUGACAAGGAUACGCUAUGUUUUGUUUAUUUACUGGGCUUAAAUUGUGACUAUUGGUAUUGUCUGAUAAAAAUGAAAUAAUGAAUCUAUUAUACAGACAUUAACAUUUUGAAGGGCCUGUGGAGCGAAAAUUUGCAUUUUUAUUCAUGCAAAAAAAACAACAACAAAAAAACCAAAACAAACUACAGUACAAGAAAUAUCAUCUUGUACUCACACUAACAUAUGUUCCUCUGAUUUUAGUGAUGCCUGUCUAAAUCAAUUAAUUCUUGGAUUUCUGACUCAGUUAACCACAAAUCACCGGCAACAUAAACAGCUGGAUUUUCACACUGGUUUUUAGGAGAGUUGUAUUUUUAGAAGGGCUCUGUUUAGGUUGUGCACGCUAUAUAAAUCCAAAGGCAGGUAUGACUUUUAAUGAAGGAGUUCACAAAUACAACCUGUUUUACAAGAGUGUACUUGUAAGCAAGUGAAGGCUUUAAUGUAGGGAUGCCAUCUAACUCAAGCAUGGUUAUGUCAGACAUUGCAUUGUACCAUUGUAUCUCUUGUUCAAAGAGGGCUUUUUGUGAUAUGUUUUAAUGUAUUUUCUCACAGAUUGCUCUUUUCAACAUCUGCACCCACAAACACGCAUCAUGUUUGAUAUUAAUUGUAUGUUGUGGAGAUGUUGGAGGUUAAAAGCCCUCCUGGAGGAACCCAUAGUUAAAUGGAAAUAGAAAUCACAAGCCUGUCACCUAAACAAUAAUUACGCUGCCUUUCCACUGAUAUGUGUUUUGGAGUAUAAUUAGAAAAUCUGAAUGUCUCGUCAUCCUGUUUUCGUGAUUUUGUGCCUUUUUCGGCUACAUGAGCACGCACCUGUGAGAUAAUGUGACUGCCAAGAAGCACAGUCAUCAGAUUUCAAACUUUGUGGCUAUAUAUAACAGUGAGUGGCAGCAGUAAUUGUCACUGUGGUUUGAAAGCUAUUCCAAAUGAAAUCAAUCACACGCUGGUACUGUAAUUGUCUGUGUCGCAAUCAGAUGACACAGGGUGGAGUCAUUUUAGGUGAUGCGCUCAUAUAUUGUGUACGUAUUGGCUCUGUUGUUGAUUUCAUUCCCAUGCAUCCUAUUCAGGGACACUGCAUUGACUGUUUUCAAUUGGAGUUUGGCUUUCAGUAACCUAUUCCACCCACGCACUGUAAAUAAAGGUUAAUGAAAUAGCCUGUAGGCAGUUCACAGGAAAGGAUUUACCUUUGUUUGCCCAUGACAUUGCUACCUGCAGAAUGAAGGGGUACUGAAAAGGUACAUUAUCUGCUUUCAUAACGUGGAGAUUAAGGGACCGAACAGUGAGUAGAGGACUUGCAAAGCAUAUUUAAAUUUCCUAUGUGGCCUAUCCACCAAGUUACUUAUUAUUGAGCCAAAUAGAAAGUGAUCUGAAAAUUAACAGCCACAACUCUGUGAUCUCAGAAUAAAGGAAAGAUCAGACUACUCACUUGAAGGACCUUGGCGAUGCCCAUAGAUCACUAAUAAUUUUAAUGGCUGAAUGUGCGUUCUAAUGGACUCAGGAAAUAUGAUUAAUCUAAGUCUACAAUAUUUAUAAGAAGUAAUUCUGUUAUAGCAAUGCCCACAUUGUUUGAUCAGUUAUGACUUUAAUGUGAUUAAUUGGCUGAUCUCAUAUUUUUUCCAACUUAAAUAUGAAAACCACAUUAAUCACUUUUUAUAUUUUCUGCAUAUGUGAGAUUUGGUGGUAUUCACAAACAAGUCAUGAGCCUUCCAGACAUCACUGAACAGAACACAGGAAAGCCAAUGAGAGGUGUUCCAACUUGCCCAGUGAGGUCUGUUUUAUGCCCGGGGACAUAAGCAGUUUCAUAAAAGAAAGACCACAAACAUUAGCUUGUUUGUUGAGCAUUUAGUUUACAGCAAAGUACAGCAAAGCCAGCACCUCGUGUCACAUAUAUCUUACAAUCUUUUGUUAAGGAAACUAAGAAAACAUCUCACUGACAUUUUCUUUACAUUACUUAGUCUAAAUGUGUGUUUUGUUUGCCACAAUUUGUCUCCUGACAUUAUUUAAAAUGCAAAGAAACCAACAAUGGCUUGGGCAAAAUGCGGAUGUUGUCUCUCUGAACAUAUAUUGAAUUAGAAUUUGUCAUUUUGUCUAAUUUAAUUCGUUUUGAUUUCUGUUUUGUGUG